AGUAGAAGAAGGGGAUUGAGGAGGAAUGAGGGACGUGAAAAGGGAGAAACUGUGAAAUGAAUCUACUGUCUUGUCAAGAGCAUCACGGAGUAAAUAUCUGGGAAAAGUUUCUGAGUUCUUUAUUUUACAUGCAGGAAAAUGAAGGUGCAUAAAAAGAGCUGGCUUCAAAGCCUUUUAGCCCAUUGCAGUGAGUGGAUAUCCCUUUAAAUCUCAAAAGCCCUGUUUCUGUAAGUCUUUUGGUGACUGCCCAAAGGAUGACCCUGUCUCUCAGUGGACAUCCUGGGACUUUUUGAAAGUUCCCAUUGCCCACAAGAUCUGCCCUGCAAUAUCAACACUUGGAGGCCUUUACAUCAAAAUAUUUGACAGGAAUACCUCAAUUCAAGAAGAGAACAUUUUCUGGAAUUAAAGAGAAUAUUAGGGACAAUGAAACUUUGAGGAAUCACUGAGUGGGGUAGAGGUUUUUGUUGUUUAGCGUUAUCCUAGUGGAAAAGAUCACUGGGUUAGGAGAGACAAAAUGGUUGGUUUUAUGAUGUGUGGAUCAUAAAAGCUCACAAAUUUUCUCUGUCCUGAGUUGGCAUGUACUAUACUCUGUCUAAUUAACACUUGAAUGAUCUUUAGAAGUUGCCUAGCUGUUCUAGAGGACAGUUGGGCUUCAUGUUACCUUUGGGCAACCUCCACUCCUAGAACACUUAUUCCAUGAGAAGGUUUUUAAUUUCUGAAAUGAUUAUCACUUUGGAUGCUGUGGCAAGAAAAUUCUCCCAUCAAUCAUUCUAUAAGCUGAGAGAAUUAUAUAUUUUCAAUAGAAAUGGCACCUCUAUCUUGAGGUCCAGAUUGUAUUUACAUAUAGAGCAAUAAGUUCUUACUAGAGUUUAAUAAUUUUUAUCAAUGUAUUAUUAUUUUCUCUUAUAGGCCUGCAAUAAUUUUCUUACUCUCAUUGAUUAUCUUCCAGGAAAUCAUCACAUUUUAUUCAAAAAUAUUGAUUAUGUGAAAAUUUAUUUUUUGGAGAAAGUAAAAAAAAAAAAAAAGAAGAAUCCCUGGAUGUUUAUGAUCCUCAGUACUUCAUUGACUAUUUCCUGAUAAAAAUGGCCCAGAAGCACCCAUCCCCAGAUGACAACCUGUUUUUCCCCAACCAGACCUCAAAUGGAACUGACUUCUAAAAGGGAACUCAUGUCCCCCAUGUCAUCGUCCCCCACGUCGUCCAUUGUCCCCCAUGUCAUUGAGCCCCCUCAUGUUCGACACGCCUUUUCAGCUCUGAAGCAGCCAGAACGAGCCAUUGCCCCUUCUCACCCCUUCUCCUUACAGCAACAAAGUUUCUAAAAUUAGGGGAAAUAAAGCCAGAAAUGGUUAGGCAGUGUAGAUAGGUAAAUAGAGUCAGGUUGGAUCUAGGAGGCCAGUUUUAAGUGAGUUUGGGAAGUUGAAGACUGUCUCCUGAGGAUUACUGUUUACCAGGAUGUAGAGCCUGUCCAAAUAGGCCCCCAACUGAGGAAACCAUGAUUGGUUCCCAAGUUUCCAGACAAAGGGGGAAUGAAAAACUAGCCUCUACCUCAGAGAAAAGCCUGUCCAAGGAAGGGACAUGACCUUAGUCCUUGGAAAAACCCACAGAGCACUCCUAAGCACAUUCCCACCCUGCUAAGUUGUUUAUCUACAAAUAACAGGAGAGAUCUGCUGCGCCAGGUGUCCCUGACUCAGUCAGGCUAGGUGGAGAUCCAUAGCAGCCCCCUAGCAGCCACCAAUCAGCAUGAGACAGGGAAAUACCUGGGAUGCCAGAUAACCCUCCCAGUGGUUUAUGGUGGUUAAUAACAAGUUUGGAAACCAUGUAGUUCAGCACGUACACCCCUCUUGGCUCAAACCAAUCAGUUCAAACGAAUACCCCUUUUGUACUGACCAAUCACCCCUACCCAACUUGUUCCCGCCAGUGAAUGUGCUAAUCAUGUUUUAGAGUUGUUAUUUGAUUUUCCCACGGUGUGUGAUGAUUUGCUAAAAGAGGCUAUGAUGUAUGUGAAGUCCCUGCCUUCUCCAAAAAAUGUAUAAAACUGCUGCAAACCCUGGGCUCGGGGCCUCUCAGCAUCACCAGUUGCUGUGUGGGCAUGCAGAGGACCGAGCUAGCUCGCAAUAAACACCUCUUUGCUGCUUGCAUCGA
Long non-coding RNA from Marmota monax (woodchuck), 2140 nucleotides. RefSeq lists it as uncharacterized. The record is from RefSeq and is a predicted model, not a curated record. NCBI's taxonomy places the organism in Eukaryota, Metazoa, Chordata, Mammalia, Rodentia, Sciuridae. The transcript is spliced from 2 exons.